This 373-nucleotide ribosomal RNA is filed under the name uncultured bacterium. RNAcentral's name for it is "bacterial SSU rRNA". It matches the Rfam family "Bacterial small subunit ribosomal RNA", at positions 366 to 755 of the family's 1533-position model. The record is from RNAcentral.
GCACAAUGGGCGGAAGCCUGAUGCAGCAACGCCGCGUGAGUGAUGAAGGCCCUCGGGUCGUAAAACUCUUUUCAAGAGGAAGAGGAAGGACGGUACUCUUGGAAUAAGCCUCGGCUAACUACGUGCCAGCAGCCGCGGUAACACGUAGGAGGCGAGCGUUAUUUGGAUUUACUGGGCGUAAAGCGCGUGUAGGCGGCUGAUCAAGUUGGAUGUGAAAGCUCCCGGCUCAACUGGGAGGGGACGUUCAAAACUGAACAGCUUGAGUAUGAGAGAGGAAAAUGGAAUUCCGGGUGUAGCGGUGAAAUGCGUAGAUAUCCGGAGGAACACCGGUGGCGGAGGCGAUGUUCUGGCUCAAGACUGACGCUCAGACGCG